Molecule: unclassified non-coding RNA, 304 nt
Filed under: uncultured fungus
Lineage: Eukaryota; Fungi
Description: partial contains small subunit ribosomal RNA, internal transcribed spacer 1, and 5.8S ribosomal RNA
Rfam family: Eukaryotic small subunit ribosomal RNA (bases 1-73)
Source: RNAcentral
GCAAACUUGGUCAUUUAGAGGAAGUAAAAGUCGUAACAAGGUUUCCGUAGGUGAACCUGCGGAAGGAUCAUUAACAAAUCUAAAAUAUACGCGAUGGGAGGAAUAAUCCGGUCGAAAUAUAUGAGAUGGGAGAAAAACCCUUUGAUAUAUGAGAUGGGAGGGAAUAAUCCGGUUGAAAUAUAUGAGAUGGGAAGGAAUCUUGUCAAAAUAUACACGAUAAAGAAAUUGACAAAGCGAGACAAAAAAAGCAAAAACAACUUUUAACAAUGGAUCUCUUGGCUCUUGCAUCGAUGAAGAACGCAGC